ACAUUCCCAAUGAAAUAGUGGGAAAGAUUGAACAAUGUUCCAGGGCACCAGGAAAGUUUUGUAUCUUGAGAGAUGAGGAACUCAUAGGAACGGUGAGUGGAGACAACACAGAAGAACCAAGAGUGCUGAUCUUUAUCACUGUCCCCUGAAAGAGGUGAGGCUGGGGAGACAGCAAUCUGGGAAGUGGGCAGAAGAUUUUAUUUUAUUCGCCCUCUUUUUUUUUUUGCAGGUAAGACAUGAAAAGCAGAUGAAAAGCCUGAGAAAAAACAUAGUUGGAGGAAGAGGUUGUUCCAAAGCUCUCACCAGAGAGUGUUGGUGGAGGUGUGUGUCUGUAUUUCUGUGUUUCAUGGUACUGUUGAGCUGGAGAGAAGCUGCUUAGAAUCCUGAUCUCUCUAAAAUGGAAGGGACUCUGCUAGAAUCAGUAAUCAUAGUGGAGCGCAUGCUUUUUAGCUGCUCUCCCUUUUGGGUUGGAAGGCUGUGUCACCCACGUUGGCAACAUUCCCUCAGGGUUUUAGUACGAUAGUUUAUAAGCCCCCAUUAGUGGGUUUUCUUCUAUGAUUGUCAAUUGACAUCAUUUAGUCAACUAGAUUUAAUUAGAUCUGAAAAAGAGUAUUUAUGAAGGUGGUAUGAAGAAGUCAGCACAAAUUAUUCCCCCCCCCCCCAAAGUCUGUCACCCACUCUCCCACCAGAAUGUAUAUAUAAAGUCCUGAGGAAAGCAGGCUCAGGUUUAGAGGGUCUAAGUGGCACUGGCACACACACAUAUCCCUAUAUAUAUAUAUAUAUUUGCUCCUGUUGAAAUUUUUUCUCCUCCUCAUUGGGUUGUCAUUAGAUUCUCCCUAAGCACGUUCCCUUGUAGUAUUUUGCUGAUCUUGAAUCUGUUUUGCUUCAGUGUGUAUAGUUUAUCCUUGGCUCCCAAUACAGCCCUGUCUAUUAGCUGUUACGGUUCAGGGAUACUGCGGGACUGAAGAGAAGUCAACAUUUUCUGACUCUUCAAAAUUCACAAGGUCCAGGUGGAAAGGAGUUUCUAUUGGGGACCCCCCAAAUUCUUUAUCUCUCUUAAAAAAAACCCUUACUUUCUGUCUCAGAAUCAAUAUUGCUCAUUGGUUCCAAGGUUGAAGAGGGUGAGGGCUAGGAAAUUUGGGUUAAGUGACUUACCCAGGUUCAGGGAGGUAAGAUUUUAACUCAGGACCUCCUACCUCUAGGCCUGGCUCUCCAUCCACUGAGCCACCUCACUGUGCCCCCUCUUCCCCCAUUCUCUCUUAAGGGCUUAUCAGGAGUUGCUUUCUUCUUUGCCAGACAUUUGAAUGCCCAGUUAGGAGUUAAUUUGCUGUUUUAUACAAAACUCACAUUGUGUGACCAGACAUACAUUAGUUGAACGC
Molecule: long non-coding RNA, 1379 nt
Filed under: Monodelphis domestica (gray short-tailed opossum)
Lineage: Eukaryota; Metazoa; Chordata; Mammalia; Didelphimorphia; Didelphidae
Description: lncRNA (ENSMODG00000037299.1)
Source: RNAcentral